AUACAUGUACAAUGUAUUAACUUUGAUUAUAAAAAGAAGCCUUUCCAAGACCAACUGAAUUUGUUUAUUCAAGAAAAUCAUCCUUUUAUUUACAAAUUAAAAACAUGAAUAUAAUGUGCAUUUAUUAUUUGAUUAGUUAAACGAAAUGAACUGAGUAGAAAAGUUUCAUUAAUUUUGUAGAAAAAUACAAUAAAUUUUAUUUCCAAUUGUUAAGCAAUUUUUUUUAUUGGUUAAAGGCAGUGGAUACUGGUCAUGGUUUUGACAUCACUUUGGGCCUAUAACUUUAAGUGCCCCUCAUAGCAGUCAGUAUUUCCAUGUUAAGAUAGCAAUUUACGACUUAAAGGUGCAGACAUGAAAAAAUCAUAUGAUGAUGUCACAAGAGCUGUUUUGGGCUCGCUACGAAACAGCUAAUGACAAAUUUCCAGUAUGCAUUGUAUACAAAAAUGUUUAUGUAGACAAAACUCUGGAGUUGUAUGAAAAACAUUGUAAAAAGGCGGUACAAUUUCACGGAAGAAUUUAAUCACUCUCAAUGGUAUUUGGAAACAUGCAAAUGAAAGAAUCAGGGAAAUUUUUUUUUUCUCAAUGAAAAUACACCUGUUUGUUAUAGCAGUAGCUUUACACGCUCCAAGAACUUCACUAACACAUCUUACAACCUAAAUGUGAGGGGCUGAAGAACCAGUUUGUCUGUCAGUUAUGAUGCUUCUAUGGUCAUACAAUACUACAGGGUUAUAAAUAAUAAAACAAGUGCCCUCAAUUAUACAAAUUCUAGUAAUUAUACACUACAGCAGAAGAAUUUCUUUUUCUCACUCGAGUGUAUGCUUUUGUAUGAAGUAGUUUGUUGUGUACAAUGGCACGAUCAUGGAAGGCAACAUUAUCAGGAACAGGGUCAUUAAGUAGCCUUUCUAAGGCAAGCCUUUCUUCAAUCGUUGUUUGACAAAAUUUAGCACAACCAAGAACGGUUACAUCAUCAUUAACAUGGAAUGCAUAUUUUGUAGACAACAAGCCACUUAAUAAAGAUUUACAGUACGUCUCUACUUGGGGAGAUUUAUUAUACACAAAUGAUGUCAUAAGUUGUGGAAUGUACUUCCAUAAUGUGAAGUUGUUGAUAUUUUGCAAAGGCACACCCUGAGUUCCAUGAAACAUCUUAAGAAGAUUGCCAUUAUAAGAUUCAAAGGCAAAAUGUUGAAUUGGGCCAUAAAGGACCCCAAUUAUGAACAGUAUCAACAGCAUGAAGUAGUUGGUGAACAUGUAUGUCAUGUGCUUUUUGCCAUACAGCUCCUCUACGAGAAACACAAAUUUCUUUAACAUAAUAUCUGCAUUAAUUAAAUCAUUUAGUGAAAUAGACUCUGAUAAAAGUGUCAUGACAUGACAUGUUGUUUACUAUAGUUUCCUAAGAUGUGUGAAGUUUGCGGUUGUGCGCCUUGAGUUCUAGACUAGCCACUUCUACACACGAGUUCGUAAAGUUUUCAACGUUAGAGUUUACUCUCCAGAUUCCCGUAUUUUUCUCAAGUUUAUGCCGUUAUAAGGAUCACACACAGUUGUUGAAUAAUACACAUAAUUGAUACACAAGCAGUUUUCUUCGUCAAUUUUAUUGCAACAACGUGUUUAAACUUUACGAGCUCUUCACAAAAAGAAUUGCAAGACUUUGUACCAACAGUAACCAAUGUUUUAGAUAAUUAUCUGGAAGAAUCCCGAUUAAGCAUGGGAUAGAAAAAAAUAUAAUCCAAGACCUCCAUUCAGACCCUUUCCAAAAUCGUCUAUGUAACAAUGACCUUGGUGCUCGAGUUAAGUUGUUUGGAGGUUGAAUACUUGUCAGUCUUUCAUCUACCUUACCAAUUGGGUUGCCAAUAUAAUUAUCCUCAUUAUGAUUUGACGAGUCAAACCAUAAAGAUGCAAAGUAUCUAGUAACCCCCAAAAGACUAUUGUGUAAAUAAUCUACAGUAAAGCCUUGUA
This is a long non-coding RNA of Asterias rubens (European starfish), 1953 nucleotides long. RefSeq lists it as uncharacterized. Lineage: Eukaryota; Metazoa; Echinodermata; Asteroidea; Forcipulatida; Asteriidae. The record is from RefSeq and is a predicted model, not a curated record. The transcript is spliced from 2 exons.